This is a long non-coding RNA of Ostrea edulis (European flat oyster), 734 nucleotides long. RefSeq lists it as uncharacterized. The record is from RefSeq and is a predicted model, not a curated record. The transcript is spliced from 3 exons. Lineage: Eukaryota; Metazoa; Mollusca; Bivalvia; Ostreida; Ostreidae.
UUGGGCACCGGUGUAGCGGUGAUCGCGGUCGCUGGUGCUCAGGGUCGCUCUAAAUAUAGCGGUAGCCCUGCUGUUCGACGCUCGCAUAAUUCGACCCAUAGGUAAUUGUAAAUAUUUUAUAUGGUUGUAAUCAGCAAUUAGUGUGAAGUCUGGUGUUGAAAAAAACCCAAAAGACAAUAAAACAAUUGGUAUUAUUGAAUUAUUUUGUUUUAAAAACCAGAAAAUGCUUUGGUUUUUAAUUCUACAUCUGAAAUUGUGAUCGGCAUAUGAACUUCAUUUAUGCACAUAUUUUAAUAAGAAGACGUGCAUUUUAACUAAUAUAUUAAAUUAUAUAACUAGUGCAGCUCCUUUAGCAAAAAUAUCAACAGAAACUUACUAAUAAUUAUUCAUUUUACAUGCAAGAAUCAUCGAGAUCGGCAUCCCACCAAUGUCGUCCUGUACUCGAGCGAUCGAGUCUCGACUGAUUUAUAUCAUUAUGAUUAUGAUAACAAUACCUUGAAAGUAAGAUAGUGGUUUAAAAAGAAAAAAAUUAUGGUUGGCUUCCUUUCACUCCAGAUCAUUGUCAAAACAAGAAGUAAUUGUUUACACCUGCACGUUAAUCCAAGUUUAAGGCGUCUAGCUGUGCCUUGUUCACACCUGUUGUCAUGUGAUUAAAAUAUAAAAGAUGACUUAGGAAUUGUUAUGGAGAUAACACUAUUGUAAAUAUGCUUUGAAUAAACAGCCAUUGUUUUCAA